GGCUGGAUACCUAAGCUGUUAGGGUUUUUUGUUUUCUUUUUCUGAAAGUGUUUUGGGCUGUUUUGUUGGGCUAGGGUUUAGGUUUAGUUAGGUUCAGGCUAUUUAUUGGUUUUGAGCCAUACAGGCCUAAUGGACUUUGUAAGUGGAUUGGGACUUUGUUUUUUUUUUUUUUGUUUAUUGCUGCAUGGGCCCGGGAAAAUUGGACCAUUUAUAGCUGCCCCUCUUUGCUUGUUGUCGUAUAACAAGAAUGAAGCAAAGACUUCAAAAAGGGCCAAUUUUGCCUGGUCUCUAAAUCUCGACUUCUUUGGUGCUCAUCCUCUUUAAGUAGCCUCGUUCUAAUCCGCUGCCACUUCAGGGAGAUGAGAGUUGUGGUUUUAGUCCACUCCACUGCAACCUCGGGG
This 401-nucleotide long non-coding RNA is filed under the name Gossypium raimondii (Peruvian cotton). RNAcentral's name for it is "long non-coding RNA (GRAI_LNC006301)". Lineage: Eukaryota; Viridiplantae; Streptophyta; Magnoliopsida; Malvales; Malvaceae. The record is from RNAcentral.